AGGGUGGUAGUCAUUGUGGCAUGAAACCUUAGAGUUCUAAGGAACAGGAAUGAUGGUGGUCAUCUUAAAACAUGUGGGGAUUAAAGACUUGGACCCUAACCCUGGGACAAGGAGAGGUUGAACAUUACAGACUGGGACCCUAACCCUGGGACAAGGAGAGGUUGAACAUUACAGACUGGGACCCUAACCCUGGGACAAGGAGAGGUUGAACAUUACAGACUGGGACCCUAACCCUGGGACAAGGAGAGGUUGAACAUUACAGACUGGGACCCUAACCCUGGGACAAGGAGAGGUUGAACAUUACAGACUGGGACCCUAACCCUGGGACAAGGAGAGGUUGAACAUUACAGACUGGGACCCUAACCCUGGGACAAGGAGAGGUUGAACAUUACAGACUGGGACCCUAACCCUGGGACAAGGAGAGGUUGAACAUUACAGACUGGGACCCUAACCCUGGGACAAGGAGAGGUUGAACAUUACAGACUGGGACCCUAACCCUGGGACAAGGAGAGGUUGAACAUU
Oncorhynchus keta (chum salmon) is the source of this 522-nucleotide long non-coding RNA. RefSeq lists it as uncharacterized. The transcript is spliced from 3 exons. The record is from RefSeq and is a predicted model, not a curated record. Lineage: Eukaryota; Metazoa; Chordata; Actinopteri; Salmoniformes; Salmonidae.